Molecule: ribosomal RNA, 121 nt
Filed under: Salmo salar (Atlantic salmon)
Lineage: Eukaryota; Metazoa; Chordata; Actinopteri; Salmoniformes; Salmonidae
Source: RNAcentral
GCUUACGGCCAUACCAGCCUGGGUACGCCCGAUCUCGUCUGAUCUCGGAAGCUAAGCAGGGUCGGGCCUGGUUAGUACUUGGAUGGGAGACACGGCCUGGGAAUACCAGGUGCUGUAAGCA